Molecule: long non-coding RNA, 252 nt
Organism: Hibiscus syriacus
Lineage: Eukaryota; Viridiplantae; Streptophyta; Magnoliopsida; Malvales; Malvaceae
Exons: 3
Source: RefSeq, a predicted model, not a curated record
AUGAGGUUUUCUUCUUUUUGUUUCAGGAUUAUCGCCAGAGAAGUGGGCAGAUUCCAGCAUUUGGAGAGUGGGACUAUGACAAUGAGUUGCCUAUAACUCAGUACUUCGAAUGUGCUAGACAAGCUGGUUUGAUUCGGUUCAGCUCUUCGUCUGGUGAAUCCAAUCCUUAUGUUUCUCCCCACGACUUGUAUCAAGUCGAUUCAAGGAGACGUUCUUCUGAACUCCCUCCUCUACAAAGACGAGUAGGGGAAG